CUUUCAAGAAAUAAUCUCUAGUCGUCGAUGGCGACCGUACCAAAACCGACACAGGUGGAUGAGAAGAGUAUUCUCAGGCGCGCGAGAGAACUCACGUUAAGGAACUCUGCAAAUUAGCCACGUAACUUCGGGAGAAGUGGCGCUUUUUUCCGUUGUGGAGAACAUCCAUGAGCGGAGAGAAGCCGCAGUGAAAGGGCCCAGGCGACUGUUUAACAAAAACACAGCACUCUGCUAAUUCGUCUAAGAAGACGUAUAGGGUGUGAUACCUGCCCAAUGCCGAAAGGUCAAAAGGAGAUGUCAGUCCGCAAGGACGAAGCAUUGAAUUUAAGCCCCGGUGAAUGGCGGCCGUAACUAUAACGGUCCUAAGGUAGCGAAAUUCCUUGUCGGGUAAGUUCCGACCUGCACGAAUGGUGUAACGAUCUGGGCGCUGUCUCAACGAGAGACUCGGUGAAAUUGUAGUAGCAGUGAAGAUGCUGUUUACCCGCAAUAAGACGGAAAGACCCCGUGAACCUUUACUGUACUCUGAUAUGGGCUCUUGACUUGUUAUAUGUAGCAUAGCCAGGAGGCUUCGAAGUUGUGUCGUCAGGCAUGAUGGAGCCACCAGUGAAAUACUGGUUUUAACAAGUUGAGAAUCUAACGUGACUCCCUGAAGCUGGAGCACGGACAGUGUCAGACGGGCAGUUUUACUGGGGCGGUAUCCUCCCAAAGAGUAACGGAGGAGUCCAAAGCUUGCCUCAUCGUGGUUGGUAAUCACGAAACGAGCGUAAAAGUAUAAGGCAGGUUGACUGCGAGACCAACAAGUCGAGCAGGUACGAAAGUAGGGUUUAGUGAUCCGGCGGUAGAAAGUGGAAUCGCCGUCGCUCAACGGAUAAAAGGUACUCCGGGGAUAACAGGCUUAUCGCCACCAAGAGUUCAUAUCGACGUGGCGGUUUGGCACCUCGAUGUCGACUCAUGGCAUCCUGGGGCUGGAGAAGGUCCCAAGGGUUUGGCUGUUCGCCAAUUAAAGUGGUACGUGAGUUGGGUUCAAAACGUCGUGAGACAGUUUGGUUCCUAUCCUCUGUGGGCGCAGGGUAUUUGAGGAGAGCUACUUCUAGUACGAGAGGACCGAAGUGGACGAACCCCUGGUGUUCCGGUUGUCCUGCCAAGGGCAGAGCCGGGUAGCUAUGUUCGGAAAGGAUAAGCGUUGAAAGCAUCUAAACGCCAAGCCUCCUCCAAGAUGAGAUACCCCUAAGAGACCCCCGAUAGACUAUCGGGUUGAUAGGCUGGGUGUGUAAGUGCAGCAAUGCAUUGAGCUAACCAGUACUAAUCGGUCCAUCGACUUGAUCAC
RNAcentral lists this ribosomal RNA (1327 nucleotides) under groundwater metagenome. Its description in RNAcentral is "bacterial LSU rRNA". It matches the Rfam family "Bacterial large subunit ribosomal RNA", at positions 1605 to 2925 of the family's 2925-position model. The record is from RNAcentral.